This 23-nucleotide microRNA is filed under the name Oreochromis niloticus (Nile tilapia). RNAcentral describes it as "oni-miR-10548b". Lineage: Eukaryota; Metazoa; Chordata; Actinopteri; Cichliformes; Cichlidae. The record is from miRBase by way of RNAcentral.
CGUGAUUGCGGAUGCUGUGCAGG